UCGCCUCCACCUCCGCUCCAGGCAACCCUCGGUCACCGGCUCGCUGGAGCACGACGGCAGACGAUGGAUGCCCUGGUUGUGUGCGACGGUUGCAGUUCUUACGCGCAAGCUAGGGUUGGAGCCGCCAGCUCUUCAUCCUGCCCGCCGGAGGCGAGUCUUCCCGUCCCGCACUGCCGCCUCCCCGUUAUCACAGCAUGGUCAAAACAAUGGUGCCUUCACCCUUGCUCGUGCCUCAACCCACAUGGUCAUCUUUGAGACGUGGUAUUCAGUCACAUGACAGAGUUCUCUUUAUCCUUGAGGUCAGGUGCGGCAACUAGCGACAUGUGCUGGAACUUCUGGCUUCGCUGGCGGCGGCAUCACCUGCAUCGACCUCUCCCUGGUCGCCUUCGAGAGUGUGUGCGGCCGACCAUCAAGCUUGUUAUGACGCACUUUGAAUUUCCGAGCAAGUCGCAGCCUUUUCAGAUUCAUCAACACAGGUUACAUCAGUAGUCAAUAUGGUUCAGAUGCAUAAUAGUACGUACUUCAUUUCCUUUUUGUUGUGUACGGUGUCCUACAACAUGGAUCAUAUAUAUCGGUUAUCUUUCAGGUUCAGUUUGCUGUGGCAAAUUCUUCUUGAAUUUGUUGCAGCAAACUUGUGGUCAUGUAUGGUUUUUAGUUUUGCAAGCAUGCAUAGUUUAGAAGUUAGAAAGCUCGUUCAUGUAUUGUUCUAAACUGAAAGUUUAAGUGGCUUUUCCACCCAUGGUAUUGUGGUGGUCAUAAUAGCACACCUCACAAUUAUUAUGGCC
Long non-coding RNA from Triticum dicoccoides, 785 nucleotides. RefSeq lists it as uncharacterized. The transcript is spliced from 3 exons. The record is from RefSeq and is a predicted model, not a curated record. NCBI's taxonomy places the organism in Eukaryota, Viridiplantae, Streptophyta, Magnoliopsida, Poales, Poaceae.